AAACAGGUUAAUAUUCCUGUACUCGGUGUUACUGCGAAGGGGGGACGGAGAAGGCUAUGUUGGCCGGGCGACGGUUGUCCCGGUUUAAGCAUGUAGGCGGAUGUUCCAGGUAAAUCCGGAACGUUAUUAACGCUGAGGUGUGAUGACGAGGCACUACGGUGCUGAAGUGACAAAUGCCCUGCUUCCAGGAAAAGCCUCUAAGCAUCAGGUAACAUCAAAUCGUACCCCAAACCGACACAGGUGGUCAGGUAGAG
Molecule: ribosomal RNA, 254 nt
Filed under: Klebsiella michiganensis
Lineage: Bacteria; Pseudomonadati; Pseudomonadota; Gammaproteobacteria; Enterobacterales; Enterobacteriaceae
Description: partial 23S ribosomal RNA
Rfam family: Bacterial large subunit ribosomal RNA
Source: RNAcentral